Molecule: non-coding RNA, 24 nt
Filed under: Arabidopsis thaliana (thale cress)
Lineage: Eukaryota; Viridiplantae; Streptophyta; Magnoliopsida; Brassicales; Brassicaceae
Source: RNAcentral
AUGUAUAGUAUCUUAGGGUUUAGU